RNAcentral lists this ribosomal RNA (468 nucleotides) under uncultured bacterium. Its description in RNAcentral is "partial 16S ribosomal RNA". It matches the Rfam family "Bacterial small subunit ribosomal RNA", at positions 28 to 507 of the family's 1533-position model. The record is from RNAcentral.
GACGAACGCUGGCGGCGUGCUUAACACAUGCAAGUCGAACGGAAAGGCCCUGCUUUUGUGGGGUGCUCGAGUGGCGAACGGGUGAGUAACACGUGAGUAACCUGCCCUUGACUUUGGGAUAACUUCAGGAAACUGGGGCUAAUACCGGAUAGGAGCUCCUGCUGCAUGGUGGGGGUUGGAAAGUUUCGGCGGUUGGGGAUGGACUCGCGGCUUAUCAGCUUGUUGGUGGGGUAGGGGCUUACCAAGGCUUUGACGGGUAGCCGGCCUGAGAGGGUGACCGGCCACAUUGGGACUGAGAUACGGCCCAGACUCCUACGGGAGGCAGCAGUGGGGAAUAUUGCACAAUGGGCGGAAGCCUGAUGCAGCAACGCCGCGUGCGGGAUGACGGCCUUCGGGUUGUAAACCGCUUUCGCCUGCGACGAAGCGUGAGUGACGGUAAUGGGUAAAGAAGCACCGGCUAACUACGUG